RNAcentral lists this ribosomal RNA (472 nucleotides) under uncultured bacterium. RNAcentral's name for it is "SSU rRNA". It matches the Rfam family "Bacterial small subunit ribosomal RNA", at positions 26 to 518 of the family's 1533-position model. The record is from RNAcentral.
AGGAUGAACGCUGGCGGCGUGCCUAACACAUGCAAGUCGAACGUCCUGUCUCGCAAGAGGCAGGGAGUGGCGGACGGGUGAGUACCACGUGGGUCAUCUACCGUGAGGUGAGGAAUACCGGCGAGAAAUCGCCGACAAGACCGCAUAGGCUCGAUGCAAGUCGAGCAAAGCUCUUUCGAGAGAGGGAGCGCCACACGAGGAGCCUGCGCCCGAUUAGCUAGCUGGUGGAGUAACGGUUCACCAGGGCGACGAUCGGUAGCUGGUCUGAGAGGACGAUCAGCCACACUGGGAUUGAGAACGGCCCAGACUCCUACGGGGGGCAGCAGUGAGGAAUUUUCGUCAAUGGGGGCAACCCUGAACGAGCAACGCCGCGUGCAGGAGAAGGUUUUCGGAUCGUAAACUGCUUUUCUCGGGGAAGAGAACGGACGGUACCCGAGGAAUCAGCCCCGGCUAACUACGUGCCAGCAGCCGC